Molecule: long non-coding RNA, 9252 nt
Organism: Colius striatus (speckled mousebird)
Lineage: Eukaryota; Metazoa; Chordata; Aves; Coliiformes; Coliidae
Exons: 4
Source: RefSeq, a predicted model, not a curated record
GGACGGUUGAUGCCUAGGAGCGGCGCCCGAUAGGCUGGCGAGCGAGUGGGCGGGCCCGGCGCCGCCCGGCUGGCCCCCCGCCGGCUGGCCGAGCUGAGGAGGGGAAGAUGGCGGAGUGAGAGGAAGAGGCAGAGAGGCCGGGGCCGGCCGCGGCCCCGCGGCUUCGGCCGCGCUCAGGCUCACUGAAGAAAAUGUGGAUUGAUCAGAAAUAAUGCUCUGCCACAAACCUUGGGCGUGUUGCAGGUCUCCAGGUCUGUUUUUCCCCCAUCUUCAUAACAAAAAUAAAGACUUUCCUGAUGGUGACAAUGUGGAUGGUCAAGCCCAUGAUCAGCUGAAAUAUUUGAGUGCCUCAGAGAGAAAGUGACGGUGGCAUGCGCUGUAUUUCCAGUUUCAUGAGCUACUCGCUGCUUCUACCACACGAGUUGAAGAUCGUUGCUGGAAGAUUAUGUCUGAGCUCACUCAACUAAACAGCUAAGAUUCUCUCCUGACAUUCAAGAAGGUGGUCCUGUGCUUGCUCAUAGGCUGGUGGGAGAUGUGGAUGUUUCUCUUCUAGCAAGCAAAAACCUGUCCUUCACUUCCAUGGAGAUGAGUGAACAAAGAUCUCUCCACUUCCUGUUGCAGCCAUCUCAGCCAACCUUUGAUUCACCAGAUCACUUCUUCCACCCAAGUACCCCAUUGUUUUAUCAAAACUCAAAGCAGAGUGACAGAAAUCAGCACUUGUUUCCCUGAAGAAACAUCUUCUGUGCCAGCUCUUCAUCCAGCUCUCUGCAUUCUGAUUUUAAAAUGAGAAAUACCUAGCAAUCAGAUGGCAGCAGAAGCUGGUGUUGGUCACCGAAAUCUCCUUCUUCAUUUUAGGAAGGUUAAGCACUGCACUGUGUCAUAUCGGAGUUGUUAGCAGAUAAAGGGUCUGCAUGCAUUGCUAUGUCACACUGUCUUGACGUGUAUUAAAAGUUGCAGCAGGAAAAACUGAACCUGUUUUCUGCUCUGACAUAAGGAAGAAACUUAGCAAACAACCGGGGACAUCCCAUACAGGUAUUUUCUAGUCCAGGACCUAGGCUUGACUUUGUAGAUAGAAGUCUUGUUGUCAACUCACACGAAGCAGCUAAUGCACAGGAACAAACGCAGAACCACCUUGUCUGUAGUGUGCAAAUGCAUCAUCCCAGUCUGUGAUCAAAAUGUAUAUUUGCAUGUGUAAACCUAUGUAAGUGCUGGAUACGAAGAGCUUUCGCCAGGAGGAGAAGUUAACUCUGCGUCAUUUCAUUUUUAGCAAAGAAAAAUGAAGCUUUAAAGGCCUCUGGGGUAACAGGAGGAUGAUUGGGUUUACGCUAAAUCGUUCCUUCCCUCUGGCUUUUUGUGAAUCCUUAGCAGCAAAAGGAACAAAACCAUUCUACACUAGGAGAGGUGGGGCAGAACUUCGUUCUUUAUUGGUGGAAUUAACUUCUGGUGGGAUGGAGGAGACCAGAGGUGUGAAGUUGCAGUUUAUCCACUCAACUUCCUUGGCACAGUUUCAGCUUUUCAUACCACUGAUGGAAUCGGCCUUUUGAUUCUUCUGUGACUGAGAACUGAGAUGACCUGUGUGUUUCCAUCGUCUACAUAGAAAUAGGCCCAAGAGAAGGGGCUUAGCCAAGUGAGUUGAGAGAGAGCAGAAAUACUUAGGGUGGGCCUUUCUCUGGUUCCUCUUACUCCUUCCCAAACCACGGCGCAAUCUGUUGCUUUUAUGUUUACACAAGAUUCUGUGUUUCCAUCAGUUGUGAUUAUGGAGGUUGUUUUCUGUCCUUCUGAGGUGGGAGCCUGUACUGUUUACAUGCUCCCUUCUGUGAGAUUGUAUGUGGCAAGUAAGUUUUCCUGGCAAAAAAAACCACCCCAACCUAACAGAACUGGGAGGUAUAUUCCACUUCAAAUCUGGAGCUCUUCUUAGUGCACCUUAUUCCAAGCUUGUGAUUUAGAAAAUGUGACUUACUAGCUUAAAAUAGUGUUUUCCAAUUUGGAUCAAAUAAAGGUAUAUAGGUUCUGUUAAUAGAUCUGGGGAGAUAACUUGGUUGGGGGGGAGGGUGUUCUAGAUUUCUUGGUUUGUUCUGGUUUUCCUUUUAGGAAAGUACUAGAGAGAGACAGGCAGCCUGAGACUGUCUGAGAAAGCCAACAGUUGAAAUCCUCUGUAAACCUUAGCGCUAGGUUGCAAGGGCAGCGUCCUGAAAUGUAACAUGUGCUGACACUUUGUGAGACCAAGUUCCACAGCAGAGCAAGGACAAGUGCUGAUGUUGAUCCCAAUCUUCAGAGUGGAGUUGAGUUACAUCCGUGCUUAGGCUUGCGUCGUAACAAUAAGAUUUAAUGACGACUUGACCCGUUUUUUGUUUCCAUGAAGAUCAGACACGUAAGCGAAAGAGUCAUGGGCAAGACACUGCCUAUGAAGGUAAUGCCAAGUGCAGUGAGCAGAGAGGGGCACUGAACAUGUGUGUGACAUUGUGGUAAGAAUUACACUGAUCUUGAUGAGGCAACCACCGGCUUGGCCUGACUUUUAAGAGCAUGGUGUUUCUUUGCUGGACAGGAUUUGAGUUUUCUGGUGUGGGAGGCAACUAGCAAAGCACACGUCCUUUAGGGCCUCCUUACGUUGAAACCAAUGGGAUUUAGUGUAGAUGUCUGUAGAAGCAGGAUCCAUCUCUAAGUGAUGGAAAAUACUGUCAGUAUCGUAGGAUCAUGAGCGAUUGGGAGCUCUCUGCUGUGAGACGUUGGGUUUUCGAUCUGGGAAUGUCCUUUUGUUCUGUCUGCCCGUGCUUACCAUGUUAGAGCUAGCAGUUGCUUCUUGCUUAGCUUGAUGACAAAAUACUUGGGAGUCAGGAAGGUGUUUCUGUUUUCUGUGGACAUGUACAAAACCUAAGAAUGUGUCUGACUGGAGAGGAGACACUUCAAUCUCUUUGAUUUCGUUUUGCAUAGGAAUGACCCCCAAGAACCUGGAACCCUGCGUUGUAACAAUUAGAGUUGUUGCUUUUUCCUGACUCCUGUCCAUGACAAUGAAACAAUGUUGGCUUUCUAGUUUAAUUUUGGAACAUAAUGUUCUUUAGCAGGGCUCAAGGAUCCGUGGCUUUCACUGGAGAAAUACUCCAAUAGUGCAUGCCCAGAAGACCCCCAUUUGGCAUAACUUACUGACCAGCACCUGUAGAAAAGCGCUGUGUUAGGAAACGCUGCCUCAGCCUACUUAACUUCUCCUUGCUCCACUUUUCCUCUAUGUUGGUUGGAAACCUUCCCAUGUGAAAGAUGACAAAAACAAGGGGCGUGUGCAAUAGAUCAUAUAUAUAUAUAUACAUAUAUAUAUUUUAAUACUUGUGGACAAAACGAUGUUACAAGUUGUUUGGAAACAACAAAAUCACCAAUGUCUUCCAUUUUGAGAUGUGUAUAGUUCCAUAAGCAUUAGUGCUUUGUAGCAAUCUGUAGUGCCAUGUUAGGAUCAGUGCAUGAGCCUAGUAGUAUUUUUACAAUUUCAGAGUGACAAAUUUAUUAAUAAACAGUGAUGGUAAUGUAAUUAACAGUAGAAAGGAUACCAUAGGAAUCUUACAAACGUGCUCUAAACAUGCAGUAUCCUCCCUUUGACAAUGGCAACGCUCUUUAGAAACGGAAUGCAUUCACUUCAGGGGCUUCGUAGAGCCACAGCUGACUUUUUGUUUUUAGUCUCUCUGUCCAACUGCAAUAGUAAGCUAGUGUAUGUAAGUGUCCAGAACUCUCAUCUCUGUCAGUGGGGUUCUUUUGAGUCUUUGUUGAAGGUGUUUUCUUCUGUUGUUUUUAUUACUCAUCCUGCGAUAGACUCAGAAAGCUAUGAGUUUGUGUGCAUCCCCUACACGUCUACCCUCAGAUCCUUUACAAAAGCUGUUAAUUACUCUUUCUUUUCAGAUCUGACUAUAUAAUUGUUGUGACUAGUUAAACAAGGUAAUGGUUUCAAAAUGCUCUCUGCCAAUUACGCGUAGAACGCUUUUAUCCAUUAUUGCAGGAACAGAGAGCCCUUUUUGGCUGACAUCCUAGUGAAUCUUUUAACACCUGUAGUGGAUCCUGCAUUUACAUACAUCUUCAUCUUAAUAAUGAGAGAAAAUAUUAAGGUCAAGGGCUGUUGAAAAACAACAUUGCAAACUGUAUCUGUGCAGCAGGCUGUCUCAGAGAUUCCCCACCCCUGUGUUACUGAGAAUUCAAUACUUCCAGUAUUGCUUUCCAGCUCUAAGCUCAAUUUUCAUAAUCUCUGCCUCUCCCUCUGCUUUUCUCAGAAGGAAGGUUUAGACCAGGGGAAGUCCAAAUGAUUUGUCACUCAGUGGGCAGCUUGGACUGGUCAAAUAAGGGACUGGUGUGAUUCCCGAGAUGUGCAAUGCUCUGUGGAUGGCAUCCUCUGUUUCCUAGGAAAAAGCCUUUUCUUUGGUGCCAGUGUUGCUCUUCGCCCAUUUCUCUCUUUUACAAGAACAAAGCUCUCUUUCAACUUAGAGAGGAUACUGCAUCUUUUUUUUUUUUCUUGAGACCUGCCUGUAAAUGGCCAUGAGGGGGAGGGAGGGAGGGAGGGAGUGGGUAGCUUGGUUUUCUCAUUUAGAUACGAUAUCUCUCUGAAGUAAUGAAUCAAGCAGCAGGUUCCUUGGUGCAAAACCAGUGAUCCAUGCAGAGGUCAUGUACCUAACGGGGGAAAAACAACCCCAAACCUAAACAAGCAACCCUCUGCAUCUAAUGCAUUUCCAGGAAGAUUGGGCGGGUGGGCCAUUUACAGCAGAGCUCUGGGGGACCUGUGCUGAGAGUUAGGUUCAAUUCUAAAUUGAAGUAGCUGUAUCAUUUAAUGAAGUAGUUUAGUGCUUGGGAGAAUCAAUUGCAAAAUACCUCUGAAACUGGAAUGCAAAAUAGCACAGUAUGUAGGGGGAAGUAUCCCUGAUGCAAACAAAGCCAUAAGAUGAUUUAAUAAGAAAAUAGAACUUUAGUAGCAAUAACUGUUUUGCAUGUGAUAGUAAAUAACUUGCAUUAGCAAGGCUGUACAGUAGAGUAAGUGGGUAAUAACCAAAUAAGUUUGUGGCGCUCUGUGCUGCAGGGAGUUGCGUGACGAGUCUCUUCCUGAGAAGAUGGGUGAAUCCCUCUUAUGUUCCUCUCAUUGGAGGGAGUUUGGCACUUGAAUACUUAGUGAGUAAACUUGAUGUUAAAGAAGGAGCCCAAUGUUAGCUUUGUGACGUGUCUGAAGCACCGUCAGCGCAUGCUGGGGGAAGGGCAGGCAGUUCCUUCUGAAAGGAUAGCUGAAGCUUUCCUCUGGUUUUUGGUUUUUCUUUUUUGUAGUGUAGCACUUCUUCUCUUUCUUGGAGAACAAACUGAACCCUUCCAAAUACUGGUCUGUGACGAGAACCUGAUUCUGAAGCUCUUAGAGUGGGACGUACUUGUUAACAGCAAGAAACCAAUGUUUGCCUUGUCAAACACUCUGUUUCACACCAUAAUUGGUUUCUGUUGCUGCCUGAAGUUUCACAGGGCAAAGUACUGUGAGCCUCUGGUAACACAAAGGGUUAUUGAUCUACAGCAGCAGCCUCUGCAUCCAGCAAAGUAUUUGCUGUCAGAGGGUUACAUAAGAGAGUCACUGGAGCUGUGGUAUGUCCAUAGUUGAUGCUGUUUUCAGUGCAGAUACGGAGUCCAUAGAGACAAUAUGGCCCAACAGACAAUAAUACAUUCUGAAGAGAAUUAUUAACUCAGAGGUUUAGAUCCAUCUGUCUGGAUUUCUUCUAGAAGCUGGAGUAAUUUGGACUGGAACUUACAGCUAGAGACUUCUAAUUUUCCAAAAUGAUGAAGGUGAAGCUCUUUGUAAGUUGAUAAUGGAGCUGGGAGGAUUUUUGCAGUAUAAAGUAGCCAAGACAAGCAUCAGAAUGUCUAAAUUAAGUGCUGGCUAAAACAUAGUAUGUGUGUGAAAAGCUAAUUGAUCUGAAAGGUUGUAAUCAGCUUAAAUUCCACCUACUGAAUUAUUGAGAAAGCUGGAAGCUGGCCGUAGGGGACCUUAAUGUGAUGGUGAUCUGAUGACAUUAGAGAAGCUGUAAAUGUGUUCUGCUCUGUGGCCAGCGAGUACAUUGACAUAGUAAUGAAAACACAGCCAUGUUCAUGCUUCAGAAGUGGGAACUUGGUGGCUGAACAGAAUCCUGUUUAUUCCUUCAGAGAAGGAGGAGAGGAAGUCACUAUCUGCAUAUCCUUCCCAGUUCAGACUUUUGAUAAGGAUUUGUGUUCCAUGGGCUACUGGACGAUAAAUUACUAUCCACAGCAACAAAAGGAAUCUCUUUGCCUCUCAGCUCUUGUACUAUGAUAUGACUUUGGCUCCAAGCCCCUUAAUUUCCCUGCUUCUAAAACAAAGUGGAAGUGUGAGAUGCUACCGUAUUUCAGCAUGGGAUAUCAACGUUGUAGUGACCAGUUGUGCCUCCUUUAGCAGUGCUAAACCCAGAUGACACAAGUACAUUCUGUUUCCAUACCCAGUAGUGCUGCUGCAGAAGGUGCAGCCAGUACUUGUGUUGGAAACUCUAGUUUCAGGAAUUGCACCUUCUGCAACUGAGGACAAUUGCAAAAAACCUCCUUGAUGGUGAGGGAGAAGAAAUUCUACUGAGCUUCAGGACACUGACACUUUACACAAGGAUUGCAUUGUCAAGAGCUGGCAGUGUGUCUGGGACAGAGAAAGGAAUACUCAGAACAGCUUUUGAUGGAUAACCAGUCUUAGAAAUAACUGCUUCCUGCAUCCCUAGGAAACUGUCUGGUCUUCCUCCAAAACUAACCAUCCUGCUUGCUGUUCAGGUACAGAGCUGCUGAAUGGCAGUGCAAGUUAGAUUCCACUGGCUUUCUUUUACUGAGGGAUCCAGCAUUUUGCCCUGUAGCGCUCUGACUGGCGCACAAAAGCCAACAGUUAACCAGGAUCUCUUGUUUGACAGUGCAGAAGGCUAAGCAUGGAUUCUGAUGUCUGUUUCCUUUCAGUCUGCUCUGCACUUUUUCCUGAGGUUGUGUUGGUGUCGAUGGUGUGAGCAGAGGGUAUUUCUGUCUCUGAGCCUACAUACCAGGCUAUAUAGUAUAGACAGAUUACCUAAGGACAAAGAUCAAAGGUUACUUACUGUUACAACACACUGUUGAGUGUCUCCUGUGUAAAUCCUGCCUGCUGCUUUCCACUUCCCCUCCAGAUGGGGGUGUGUGCAGGUCAAGUGAAAGGUGGCCGGAUGGUAAUGCCUCAGGCCUGAAGAACGGCACGGAGAGACUGAAGGAGAGCAGCACAGGCCCACAAACCAAAUCGUAGAGCUAGUGUUCUAAUUAUGCAUGAGUCAAAAUGUCUAGUGUAAUGUAGUUACUACCAGUACAUUGAGAUAUGCAUUUAUACAUAAUGAAGCAAUAGGAAUUAAUAUACCAAUAGCUUGAACUUCCUGCUUUGAUUCUCGAAAUUGUGGCUUUUUAGAGAAUGUGCUGCCCCUGUAGAGAAAGGGGCAGGAUGUAUAGAUAGGGACAGAAGCAUGGCACCAAAACUGUAAAUCAGGACCCAAGAUCAGCAGAACUCGCCUUUAGAGCCUCAGCUGGUUGGUGUUCGAGCCCUGAGCAUGUACAAAGCGGGGCACGAACUAAGCGUGUUCAGGGGCGAGAGGAGGUUUCUCACCUGCUGCAGCUGUAGCAAGGAAAAGGGUGCAGAGUUUCUUACAAGGUGCAGGGGGGGAGCAACUAGUGUGGAGAAAAAAAACACAACCCACAAACCAACACAAAAAAAACCCCAAGUAACGGAAACCACAGACUCAAACCGAGCAGAGUAUUUGCCAGACAGGAGGUAAUGAGCUUGGGUGUGGAGAAAUUCUUUGGAGAAGACUGAAAUUAAUAAGCACAGUACAUAUAUUUCAGGUGUUGAAUAGCUUUUUAAUAGACAGUAUUUUCAGGUAACUCUCUAGCCACAUAGGCAGCUGUACUGAAGCUUACUGGUACCAGCCAGCAAUAAUGGCACCUGCAGGAAUGAACCUGAAAAUACAGGUAAUCUUGUAUAUUUUUUAAGUUCUUUAAAGAGAUUUUUAGAAACAGAACAAUGAGAUUUGAUCACUGAAGGUCUUUAUCAUCUGCAACACAGGUUGCAAUAGCCUUUUCUUUCUUUAUUUCACUUAAAGGGACUUUGGGUGUCAUCUUUCUGUAAUGUUUGGUGUGUUCUCUGUAAUAUUUCCCAAGUCUUCUAGUGAAUAAUGCAGUGAAUUUCUGCUGGCAGUUUGAGACUAACACAGAACUGUGUGGCACAGCCUACGUCACUAAUAGUUUUCCAAGUUGAAAUGUGCAUUCAGGCCCAUAGAACAGAAGCUUGUUACUGCAGCAUUCCAUCCUUCUAAGCUUAGCUUAAUUUCGUAGGUGGGCUUAACUUGUGCAGGACACUUCUCUGUGUGCAGAGGCUGGGUCCUCUUUCUGAAGUAGAAAGAGGAGGUGUCUUGUGAGGAAGAAAUUGUGUGUCAAGUUAAUGUUCAUGCUUUGUAGCCAACCAUCCCUAAAGCACCAUGGUUUGGGUUUAGAACGGGGGUUGCCUUUUUCUCACGAACACUCUUUCUAGAUACACAACAGCUGCCGAGUGAAGAUCUUACAGGAGGAGGUGACUACUUCACGGUCUCAGAAGUUAAGACUGUUAAACGCUUUGAGUCUCUUUCUUCUAGCAAAAAGGGAGUUUGUGAAACAGGUUUAGCCCAGCAGUGAGCCAUGGUCGCCUAAUUCUUAAGUGGCUGUUCUUUGGAGUGCUUUGCAUGGUUUUAAACUCUGUUGAAUGUGUUUUCUUUCGUGUGAUGAGCAAGCAGUUGUAUCCUUUGUUUAAUGCUUAUUUCCUUCAACAUCCAACCUAGGGAAUAAGCUGCUUUUAGGAUGUCAGAGAAGAUACCCUCCUUUUGAAGAGUAUGACAUAACAUUAAAGGAGAACUAUUAGUUACAGGUUCUUAAAAAUUACCUUAGUACUUUAACAGAAAGGCUAGAAAAUAGGUGUUACACCGAACUUCUGAUGGCGUGCUCGCGUGGAUUAGUGGAGGAAAUGACGGCUGUCACCAAGAGCUACGUACUCCAGUUGCACACGUUGUACAUGGUAACAGUGAAAGAAUGUCUCCCUGCAAAUUCUGAUGUUUUUCCAAAAGGCAGCUUGCUUUUAUAUCUAUGCAUAUUUGAGGAUUUAAAGAUAAGAUUUUAUUCUUUUGACACUGUAAAGAGGAACUGUUUAAAAAUGAACUUGGAAACUCUGCACCUGUAUACAAUUUUUUUAGCAAUAAAGCAGCACAGGCUGAGAAUGCACUAAAA